RNAcentral lists this ribosomal RNA (451 nucleotides) under uncultured bacterium. RNAcentral's name for it is "partial 16S ribosomal RNA". It matches the Rfam family "Bacterial small subunit ribosomal RNA", at positions 29 to 523 of the family's 1533-position model. The record is from RNAcentral.
AGCGAACGCUGGCGGCAGGCCUAACACAUGCAAGUCGAGCGGCCGUAGCAAUACGGCAGCGGCAGACGGGAUAGUAACACGUGGGAACGCGCCCUUCGGUUCGGAAUAACGCAGGGAAACUUGAGCUAAUACCGGAUACGCCCUUACGGGGAAAGAUUUAUUGCCGAAGGAACGGCCCGCGUCGGAUUAGCUAGUUGGUGAGGUAAUGGUUCACCAAGGCGACGAUCCGUAGCUGGUCUGAGAGGAUGACCAGCAUCACUGGGACUGAGACACGGCCCAGACUCCUACGGGAGGCAGAAGUGGGGAAUAUUGGACAAUGGGCACAAGCCUGAUCCAGCCGUGCCGCGUGGAUGAUGAAGGCCCUAGGGUUGUAAAGUCCUUUUAACGGGGAAGAUAAUGACGGUACCCUUAGAAUAAGCCCCGGCUAACUUCGUGCCAGCCGCCGCGGUAA